This 87-nucleotide transfer RNA is filed under the name Collybiopsis luxurians FD-317 M1. Its description in RNAcentral is "Gymnopus luxurians FD-317 M1 tRNA". It matches the Rfam family "tRNA". From Rfam's summary of the family: Transfer RNA (tRNA) molecules are approximately 80 nucleotides in length. Their secondary structure includes four short double-helical elements and three loops (D, anti-codon, and T loops). Further hydrogen bonds mediate the characteristic L-shaped molecular structure. tRNAs have two regions of fundamental functional importance: the anti-codon, which is responsible for specific mRNA codon recognition, and the 3' end, to which the tRNAs corresponding amino acid is attached (by aminoacyl-tRNA synthetases). tRNAs cope with the degeneracy of the genetic code in two manners: having more than one tRNA (with a specific anti-codon) for a particular amino acid; and 'wobble' base-pairing, i.e. permitting non-standard base-pairing at the 3rd anti-codon position. The record is from Rfam by way of RNAcentral. Lineage: Eukaryota; Fungi; Basidiomycota; Agaricomycetes; Agaricales; Omphalotaceae.
ACACCGUUGGUGAAGUGGUUAUCAUGCUUGCCUUCCAGUUUGUGAGCUAGUUAGCAAGCGGCUCGGGUUCGAUUCCCGAACGGUGUA